CCCUUAGAUGUCCUGGGCCGCACGCGCGCUACACUGACAUGUUCAACAAGCCUCCUAGUUCGACAGGAUUUGGGAAAUCUUUGAACGCAUGUCGUGAUAGGGAUAGAUCAUUGCAAUUAUUGAUCUUGAACGAGGAAUUCCUAGUAAACGCGAGUCAUCAGCUCGCAUUGAUUACGUCCCUGCCCUUUGUACACACCGCCCGUCGCUACUACCGAUUGAAUGAUUUAGUGAGUACCAGGGACCGAGCGCUUUGGUUGGGUUUCCUUCCCUAGCGCUUGGGAACUGUCGCAAACUUGACCAUUUAGAGGAAGUAAAAGUCGUAACA
This 325-nucleotide ribosomal RNA is filed under the name uncultured eukaryote. Its description in RNAcentral is "partial 18S ribosomal RNA". It matches the Rfam family "Eukaryotic small subunit ribosomal RNA", at positions 1470 to 1796 of the family's 1831-position model. The record is from RNAcentral.